This 486-nucleotide ribosomal RNA is filed under the name uncultured bacterium. RNAcentral's name for it is "bacterial SSU rRNA". It matches the Rfam family "Bacterial small subunit ribosomal RNA", at positions 28 to 514 of the family's 1533-position model. The record is from RNAcentral.
GAUGAACGCUAGCGGCAGGCUUAACACAUGCAAGUCGAGGGGUAUUGGUUUUCGGACCAAGAGACCGGCGCACGGGUGCGUAACGCGUAUGCAAUCUACCUUUUGCAGAGGGAUAGCCCAGAGAAAUUUGGAUUAAUACCUCAUAGUAUAGUACUUUGGCAUCAAGGAACUAUUAAAGUCACAACGGCAAAAGAUGAGCAUGCGUCCCAUUAGCUAGUUGGUAAGGUAACGGCUUACCAAGGCUACGAUGGGUAGGGGUCCUGAGAGGGAGAUCCCCCCANACUGGUACUGAGACACGGACCAGACUCCUACGGGAGCAGCAGUGAGGAAUAUUGGACAAUGGGGCGCAAGCCUGAUCCAGCCAUGCCGCGUGCAGGAUGACGGUCCUAUGGAUUGUAAACUGCUUUUGACAGGAAGAAACACUACUUCGUGAAGUAGCUUGACGGUACUGUAAGAAUAAGGAUCGGCUAAACUCCGUGCCAGCAG